UGCCUAGAGAGGAUUCAUGGCUUUACUUAAAGCAAGGCGUUGAAAGCUUGGGGAAGAAGAGAGGGUCCCCUGUUGGGUCCAAUCCCUUACACCUGAUAGAUGCACUCUUGGGAUUCUAGUUCUAGUCUCUUUCUCUGCUCCAAUGACACUCCCGGUCUCACACCAUCCCGGACCCUUAUCGCAGAGUUCCACAAGGUGACAUCACCCUAAAGACUGAAGUGAAUCACGCAUUAGUCCUCCUUCCUUGAAGGGAAAGGGAAAAUGACUCCAGAAAGAAUCCAAACUUUUUCUACCUGACCAUGGCUCAAGUCUUUUUCAGAUCCAUCCCCAGGCUUUGCAUUGCCAUUACUUCACACCCCUCAUCAAGGUGUUCUGCUCUUCCUUUCACAUCUCGCUCUACAAUAGCAGAGACAGCAUUUUCGGAGCAAGGUAAUUCUCCCAGAGAAGAUUCAAUUAUUUAGCUCCUGGAAUUAAGAAAAAGAUGAAGAAUUUAUGUAAAAAUACAUAAUAAA
Molecule: long non-coding RNA, 512 nt
Organism: Talpa occidentalis (Iberian mole)
Lineage: Eukaryota; Metazoa; Chordata; Mammalia; Eulipotyphla; Talpidae
Exons: 5
Source: RefSeq, a predicted model, not a curated record